UACAGAGGGUGCAAGCGUUGUUCGGAAUCACUGGGCAUAAAGCGCACGUAGGCGGCGGCGUAAGUUGGAUGUGAAAUCCCCCGGCCCAACCGGGGAACUGCGUCCAGUACUGCGUUGCUUGAGGAUCCAAGGGGUGCAUGGAAUUCCCGGUGGAGCGGUGAAAUGCGUUGAUAUCGGGAGGAACUCCGGCGGCGAAAGCGGUGCACUGGUGGAUUACUGACGCUGAGGUGCGAAAGCCAGGGGAGCAAACGGG
Molecule: ribosomal RNA, 253 nt
Filed under: uncultured bacterium
Lineage: Bacteria
Description: partial 16S ribosomal RNA
Rfam family: Bacterial small subunit ribosomal RNA
Source: RNAcentral